UUUAAGGUUUGGCCUGCUCCAUGAUAUAUUAAAUAGCCGCAGUAUUUUGACUGUGCAAAGGUAGCAUAAUCAUUAGUUUUUUAAUUGAAAGCUGGAAUGAAGGGUCGGAUGAGGAAGAGGCUGUCUCACUAAAAUUUAAGUUGAAUUUUAUAUUUAAGUCAAAAAGCUUAAAUGUUAUAAAAAGACGAGAAGACCCUAUAGAGUUUAAUAGACUAAAUUUUCAAUUUUAAAAGGUUUUAAUUAAGAUUGAUUUUUUGUGUAUUUUGUUGGGGUGACAUUGGAAUUUGAUAAACUUCUUUUCUUAUUAACAUUGAUUAGUGAAUAAAUGAUCCUGAUUUUUGGAUUAAAAGAAUAAAUUACCUUAGGGAUAACAGCGUAAUUCUUUUGGAGAGUCCUUAUCAAUAAAAGGGAUUGCGACCUCGAUGUUGGAUUAAAGUUAAUUUUUGGUGCAAAAGCUAGGAUAUUGGGUCUGUUCGACCCUUAAAACUUUACA
This 493-nucleotide ribosomal RNA is filed under the name Lydomorphus bifoveiceps. Its description in RNAcentral is "partial 16S ribosomal RNA". It matches the Rfam family "Bacterial large subunit ribosomal RNA", at positions 1846 to 2600 of the family's 2925-position model. Lineage: Eukaryota; Metazoa; Arthropoda; Insecta; Coleoptera; Meloidae. The record is from RNAcentral.